CACAAGUCACUCAAGUGCCAAUUCGCACGACUAUUAGUAAAGUAAGGUUUUUUUUGGGGAAGGGGAGAUUCGACGAUUUAGUAGCACUGAAUAGAUGAUUUGAAGAUUGAGGGUUUCAAAUCGGUAAGAUUCUUGAAUACAGGCUUUGUGGAUUCGAUGAAAUAUAGCUCCGAUUAUGCGUAGCAGUGGUAUUCAUCCAAAGUAUACUGAUCCAGAUAACUUCACUAUGAAGAUUCACCAUAGGGGGAAUUUUAAAGAGGGAAAAUAUUUGGGUGGUAGGGUACAAUGGAUAGACAACUGUAUUGGGGAUCCUUUUUCAAUGUUGGACAUGUAUGACAUUGCUACAUCACUUAGAUACAACAAGUUAAAAACGUGUUUCCACUAUAGGAGCACAACAAAGGCUUUUCUUCCACUAGAAACAGAUGGCCAUGUACUUGAGUUUGUGCAGAAAAUUCCUCCAUCUAAGGUUUUAGAAUUUAUACCUCUCACAUGCCAGAACCCCGUGUUAAAGAGUCAAGCAUCUGCAUCUACACCUAGAUUUCACUUUGAUGGUUCGCUUCACCCAAAUUUACACCAAGUUGAUGUAGAAGCUGAUGUGAAUACUUCAGAUUGCUGUCAGUAGGGUGAUGGUUAGGAUAAUUUGUGGGAGAAUGAACAUAUCCUUCUGAGUUUGUGGAUGUGGCAGUUAGAAUGAAUGGUUUGAAUGUUGCAGAUGAAGGGACAAGUUUUAGUGUUGUGGUAGACACAUUGGAUGGUGAUGCUUAUGAUGAAUUUGAAGAUAAUGAUGAAGAUCUUAAUGGGAAUUAUGAAGAUGUGGAUGAAGAUAGUGAUGGGAAUUAUGAAGAUGUAGAUGAAGAUAAUGAUGGGAAUUAUGAAAACAAUGAUGAGGAUGUUCAAGAGGAUUUAAUUGCUGAUGCAGAGAAGCGUGCCGAACUGAAGUUUCAGUUCUUAAACUCUGACUAUGAGCAAGAGAAGGCCAACCAAGAAGUAAAUGUAGAUGAUUGUGACUUUGAUAAGUAUGUGGUAUAUGAAGGUGUUGAACCCCCACAUAAAGAGCAUGGUGAAGCAUCUAGUGAUGAGUACCAUUACAAUUUAAAGGAUUUGAGAAGUUUUUCAGAAGAGGAACAACAUGAUGAAGUUGAAGGGGUGAAAAAGUGCAGUGCAAGGCCACAAUGCUGUUGCUGACAUUGUUAUAAGUUAGAUCAAACUGAUUUAUUAAUUAAUUUCAUACAUGGAACUGAUUUAUUUAUUUUCAUACAUGGAAUUGAUUUCAAUUGCUUUCAUUAACUUGUUGACUGUUUUAAGAAUAAAGGGACAAGCUUCUGCUAGAUAAAUGCGAAGAGGAACAAGUAGGCCAAGAAUGGAGCAAGGGGAGUUGCCCCAACAAGUGACGAUGUAAAUGGAGGAGGUGAGCAACAACAACCUCAAAGUUCAACCAAGCCUAAGUGUCAAAGUCACUCAAAGUUUGGUGUAAGAAGAGAAGGAAUUUUCUCCCAAGUGAAUCAAGCUUCUACUUCACAAGGCCCAAGAAUGGCAAGAGGAGCAGCUCCAACAACUAUUGAUGGUGGAGGAGGUCAGCAACAACAACCUCAAAUGUCAAUGCAGCCAAGGAGUCAAAUGAGAACAAAGAUUGGAUUUGACACUAUUUAUGUUGUCAAAUAGGUGAGAAGAGGAGGAUCUGUCUAUCAAGUGCCAAUGCAACCAACUUCAUAUGUUAGUUCACAUUUGAAUCAAGGUGUUGCAUCCCAAGUGAAUCAAGCUUCUCAAGUCACUCAAGCUUCUCAAGUCACUCAAGCUUCCCAAGUAAAUCAAACCUCACUCAGUCAUGACCUCUGGAAAAAAUGUUAGGUACAAGUCUCCAGCCAAAAGGGCAAGGCCAUGGAGAGUUUAGUUGAUAAAUUGAAACGGCAUGACUAUGGAUGGAAUAAAAUUUGGAUGGAUGAAUUUGUUUUUUGUUUUUUUGUAAACCGAUGGAAGGAAUGAAGUUUGGAUGGAUGGAUUUGUUUUUGUAAACAUAUGGCUUGUUUAAUUGUCACUUGGCUUGGAUCAGUUUGAUUUUGUAUGAUUUGUUUAACUGUCACUUGGCUUAUAUAGAUUUGCUUGGUAAACAGAUGCAUUAGGGAUGGAUGGAUUAGUUUUUUUGUAAAUGUAUGGAAUUGACUUUGGAUGGAUUUCUUUUGUAAGACA
Prunus persica (peach) is the source of this 2187-nucleotide long non-coding RNA. RefSeq lists it as uncharacterized. The transcript has 4 exons. Lineage: Eukaryota; Viridiplantae; Streptophyta; Magnoliopsida; Rosales; Rosaceae. The record is from RefSeq and is a predicted model, not a curated record.